UACGAAGGGAGCGAGCGUUGUUCGGAAUCACUGGGCUUAAAGCGUGCGUAGGUGGAUUGGUAAGUAAGGAGUGAAAUCCCAGGGCUUAACCCUGGAACUGCUCUUUAGACUGCCUGUCUGGAAUUCGGAAGAGGUUGGUGGAACUCCCAGUGUAGAGGUGAAAUUCGCAGAUAUUGGGAAGAACACCGGUGGCGAAGGCGACCAACUGGUCCGACAUUGACACUGAGGCACGAAAGCGUGGGGAGCAAACAGG
This 253-nucleotide ribosomal RNA is filed under the name uncultured bacterium. RNAcentral's name for it is "partial 16S ribosomal RNA". It matches the Rfam family "Bacterial small subunit ribosomal RNA", at positions 524 to 776 of the family's 1533-position model. The record is from RNAcentral.